GUUUAAUUAGUUUAAUUUAAAAAAUUUCAAAUUGUGGAUUUGAAGAUGUAUAAUCAUUAAACA
This 63-nucleotide transfer RNA is filed under the name Rhipicephalus haemaphysaloides. RNAcentral's name for it is "tRNA-His". The record is from RNAcentral. Lineage: Eukaryota; Metazoa; Arthropoda; Arachnida; Ixodida; Ixodidae.